UGUCGUCAGCUCGUGUUGUGAAAUGUUGGGUUAAGUCCCGCAACGAGCGCAACCCUUAUCCUUUGUUGCCAGCGAUUAGGUCGGGAACUCAAAGGAGACUGCCAGUGAUAAACUGGAGGAAGGUGGGGAUGACGUCAAGUCAUCAUGGCCCUUACGACCAGGGCUACACACGUGCUACAAUGGCGCAUACAAAGAGAAGCGACCUCGCGAGAGCAAGCGGACCUCAUAAAGUGCGUCGUAGUCCGGAUUGGAGUCUGCAACUCGACUCCAUGAAGUCGGAAUCGCUAGUAAUCGUGGAUCAGAAUGCCACGGUGAAUACGUUCCCGGGCCUUGUACACACCGCCCGUCACACCAUGGGAGUGGGUUG
Molecule: ribosomal RNA, 367 nt
Filed under: Salmonella enterica subsp. enterica
Lineage: Bacteria; Pseudomonadati; Pseudomonadota; Gammaproteobacteria; Enterobacterales; Enterobacteriaceae
Description: bacterial SSU rRNA
Rfam family: Bacterial small subunit ribosomal RNA
Source: RNAcentral